Molecule: ribosomal RNA, 274 nt
Filed under: uncultured bacterium
Lineage: Bacteria
Description: partial 16S ribosomal RNA
Rfam family: Bacterial small subunit ribosomal RNA
Source: RNAcentral
AUACGGAGGGUGCAAGCGUUGUCCGGAUUCACUGGGUGUAAAGGGUGUGUAGGCGGGGCGGUAUGUCAGAGGUGAAAGCCCACGGCUCAACCGUGGAAUUGCCUUUGAAACUGCCGUUCUUGAGUCUCGGAGAGGUCGCUGGAAUUCGUGGUGUAGCGGUGAAAUGCGUAGAUAUCACGAGGAACACCAGAGGCGUAGGCGGGCGACUGGACGAGAACUGACGCUGAGGCACGAAAGCGUGGGGAGCAAACAGGAUUAGAAACCCCAGUAGUCC